AUGGACGUCGUCUUCGGGAAAGCCGGAGGGGGACGGCUGGGGCAGGGCCUGUCCCUCAGCCAGGGUGGAUGGAAGCGGCUUUCGGGUGGUUUGAUUUCUCCUUGGAUUUCUUUUUCUGUCCUCUCUCCUGUCUCCCUCUUCUUUCUCUCUCCUCUCUCCUCCCUCUUCCUUUGCUCUUCUCUCACUUCUCUCAAUCUUGUUCUUUCUGUGUCUCUCCUCAAACCAAAGUGUUGCUGUGAAGGACGCGAGCCAUUGAAAUCAGAGUGGGGCCCGGCAGCCGCAAUGUGGCCUCUGCCCCUCGCUGGGCAGGAGCAGAGGGAGGGGAGAGGCCCAAGACAGCAGUGCUGCAGCCCCAGGUGGCUUCCACUUUCUGCUGGACACUCCAAGGACAGGCAGACGGAGCCCCAGGCCUCAGCGUUCUCUUUUUUCUUGUCUCCCUUCUCCCACCCGGGAAAUGAAACUGUUGGGCUGGGCCAUGGAGGCAGCAGAGACUCGGCCAUUGCAGGGGUCUCCGGGUGCCUUGUCUGGGCAGCGGUGGAGUAGUCGCCUCUCCCACCCUGGCACCGAUGGGGCCUUGCACCUCAUCGACUCAUCCUCGCCGGAAUGUAAGCAUCUCCGCCGAACUGACUCCCUGCCCUAACCCUACCUCUGAGUUUGUCCAUGUUUAUUUCCUGAAGAGAGAAGGGACUGGUGAGAGGGCUUGGGCCCUAGCCCAAGGGUGGAGAGGGAGCCAAGGGCUCCUGACCAGAUAGGAAGGACAUUUGAGCAGAGAAAAAUGAAAGGAAUUACAACCAAAAAUCCCCUCCGAGAAGACAGGCAGCAUGGAAGGCAUGGUGGAGAUGACUCAAACAAAAACUAUGAUUCUAGACCAAAAAGAAAAAAAAAAGAAAAUCCAGGACUCACCACCACCCACUUCAUCCUGCUUCCUCCCGUCAAGUCCCACCACCGGGGACCUCUCCCCCACCCCAGUGUGGGGCAAAGAGAAGAGGAGGAAGCAGGGGGCAGGGAUGGGGCAGAUGCCCUGACAUUGGUGGAGGGACCCCCGUGCAGCCGGGGGUGCUGGGGACCCUCCCCAUCCAACCCCCACAACUGGGAAAAGAAAAACAAGAAAAAAUAUUCCUGGGAGGGGGGAAAAUAACCAAAUCCCAAGCUUUAACUACAGCUGUGAAACCAAAUAUUGGGAAGGGGGUGGGAGGGAGGGAGGGGCAGGUGAGCCCCAGGUCUCCCCCCGGGCCCCCUCCCCCGAGGACUCGAGAUAAGGCACCAAAUACCUCAUAGAACUUUAAUGUUAAAAAAGGAAACCAAAUAUCGUUGGCUGGGGGCCAGCCAGGGCAAGGGGCUGGGGGGCUGGAGGGAGCCAGGGUUGGGAAGGUGAUGGGGGAAUUCAUGCCCCCCACCCCCAUCUGCCCCUUCCACUCUGGUCCCCCGUCUCGACUCCGGGAAACAAAACUAUCUCAUCGUUUUUAUUUUGUGGUCUGUACAGAGCCUGUGUCCGUGUGUCUGUGUAUGAGUGAGAGAGUUGGAGGGCUGGGAGCUUUAUGUGGGGGAUGGGGAGGGAACCCCAGGCCAGGCUCUGGGCUAGGUUAGAUGUCUGAGGUGGGGGGCAGGCCAAGGGCCUGGGCUAGGAAGAAAGGAGAGAUGAGUGGAUUGGAGCAAGGGGGAGGCCUCUGAAUCUCUCUCCUCCCCAACCCUGAUCUCCUACUUAAAGGAGGAACAGAGAAUAGGUCUAUCCAAAUGGUGGGCCUUCUAUUUGUGCCAAAAAA
This is an RNA transcript of Carlito syrichta (Philippine tarsier), 1763 nucleotides long. RefSeq lists it as uncharacterized. The record is from RefSeq and is a predicted model, not a curated record. Lineage: Eukaryota; Metazoa; Chordata; Mammalia; Primates; Tarsiidae. The transcript is spliced from 2 exons.